Molecule: non-coding RNA, 997 nt
Organism: Callithrix jacchus (white-tufted-ear marmoset)
Lineage: Eukaryota; Metazoa; Chordata; Mammalia; Primates; Cebidae
Source: RefSeq, a predicted model, not a curated record
GCCGCCUCUUCCUCUCUAGCUGCGCACCUGAUUGGACAGUUUUUACGCUAGCGCCUCUGAUUGGCUGCGGCUUCAUGCCCCACCCACUUAGACCCUGAGUGACAGGCGAUGUAAUCAGACAACGGGCUGAAUGAGGUGAAGACAUUCAAGUUGGCCACCCUGGAGAAGAAACCAGAGAGCCCAGAUGAGGCUAAAGCAGCAAAAAAGCAGUGUCCCUGUGAUGGGGAGGAGCUCCUCCCUCCCAGCUGGAGGCCUACACAUCUAAAGAGCAAAGGGACCUUUUUGCCCCAGCCCAACAGUCCCUGAAAUGCCUCUUUGCAGGAGAUCAGAGUUCUCCAGGAGAUGCAGCUGCUUCAGCUGGCUGUCAACAAUGAUCACCUUCGGCCUGUGGAGCAAUUUUGGGUCUGCCUCCAGUUAAUGGAGUGGCUCAGUGAGACUGAGAGGUCAGCAACACCACCCUCAAGGCCAUGGAGAACAUGCCAUGAUGAAUCUCCGGGGACAUUGAGUGCCUGGACAAACAGGAGCAAAGUGCCUCAGGGCUCAGUGACAUUUGGGCUAGGCAUGGGCUCCCAGCUCCACCACUGACCAGCCCUGUGACUGGGGCAGAAAAUUCACUGCUGUGGUACUUGAGGCCCCACUGUCAUAAAUAUAAUGCACACUGCCUAUUCUUUUUUCUCAUAUAUCUGUUUAUUUAUAAUCACCAUGUAUUACUGAUCUCUGUGUUUUUAUUAAAAUUAAUAAGCAUGUUAUACAGUUUUUAUCAUUCUUAUGGUUUCUUUGCUAUGUGAUUCCUCUCAUGUGUGGUACUUAAGAGUAGUUAAAUCCAUAGAAACAUAUAGGAGAGUGUUCCCCAGGGGCCAGAGGGAGAAUAACAAGGAGCUGCUGUUUAAUGAGUACAGUUUGUUUCAAAACGUGGAAAAUGCUUUUUGUAUAUGGAAAUGAUGGUGGCAAAAUAAUGGGUGUACUUAAUUCAUCUCAAAUAAAACCUCUAAUAUGA